GAAAAAGAAUAACAGAAAAAGAAUAUAAUAAAAUAGCUAUGUAUUGUCUAUCAACAUAAAUUUGCUUCCAAGAAGCUGCAAGCACAUUCACCAAGCCCAGCAUGAUGAUACAAGGAAAAACUGUGCACUGUGCGGCAAUCUAGCCAUGAACUGACAUAUUUAGUAACAACACCACAGCUACACAAUUAAGCCUUAACUUUAAA
RNAcentral lists this unclassified non-coding RNA (203 nucleotides) under Hevea brasiliensis (rubber tree). The record is from RNAcentral. Lineage: Eukaryota; Viridiplantae; Streptophyta; Magnoliopsida; Malpighiales; Euphorbiaceae.